GACGAACGCUGGCGGCGUGCUUAACACAUGCCAGUCGAACGGAAAGGCCCUGCUUUUGUGGGGUGCUCGAGUGGCGAACGGGUGAGUAACACGUGAGUAACCUGCCCUUGACUUUGGGAUAACUUCAGGAAACUGGGGCUAAUACCGGAUAGGAGCUCCUGCUGCAUGGUGGGGGUUGGAAAGUUUCGGCGGUUGGGGAUGGACUCGCGGCUUAUCAGCUUGUUGGUGGGGUAGUGGCUUACCAAGGCUUUGACGGGUAGCCGGCCUGAGAGGGUGACCGGCCACAAUGGGACUGAGAUACGGCCCAGACUCCUACGGGAGGCAGCAGUGGGGAAUAUUGCACAAUGGGCGGAAGCCUGAUGCAGCAACGCCGCGUGCGGGAUGACGGCCUUCGGGUUGUAAACCGCUUUCGCCUGUGACGAAGCGUGAGUGGCGGUAAUGGGUAAAGAAGCACCGGCUAACUACGUG
This 468-nucleotide ribosomal RNA is filed under the name uncultured bacterium. RNAcentral's name for it is "partial 16S ribosomal RNA". It matches the Rfam family "Bacterial small subunit ribosomal RNA", at positions 28 to 507 of the family's 1533-position model. The record is from RNAcentral.